RNAcentral lists this ribosomal RNA (379 nucleotides) under uncultured bacterium. RNAcentral's name for it is "bacterial SSU rRNA". It matches the Rfam family "Bacterial small subunit ribosomal RNA", at positions 28 to 409 of the family's 1533-position model. The record is from RNAcentral.
GACGAACGCUGGCGGCGUGCUUAACACAUGCAAGUCGAACGGUAAGGCCCUUCGGGGUACGACGAGUGGCGAACGGGUGAGUAACACGUGGUGAUCUGCCCUGCACUUUGGGAUAAGCCUGGGAAACUGGGUCUAAUACCGAAUAUGACCAUGGACUUCACGGUUUGUGGUGGAAAAGCUUUUGCGGUGUGGGAUGGGCCCGCGGCCUAAUCAGCUUGUUGGUGGGGUAAUGGCCUACCAAGGCGACGACGGGUAGCCGGCCUGAGAGGGUGACCGGCCACACUGGGACUGAGAUACGGCCCAGACUCCUACGGGAGGCAGCAGUGGGGAAUAUUGCACAAUGGGCGCAAGCCUGAUGCAGCGACGCCGCGUGGGGGAU